RNAcentral lists this ribosomal RNA (493 nucleotides) under uncultured bacterium. RNAcentral describes it as "bacterial SSU rRNA". It matches the Rfam family "Bacterial small subunit ribosomal RNA", at positions 28 to 510 of the family's 1533-position model. The record is from RNAcentral.
GAUGAACGCUAGCUACAGGCUUAACACAUGCAAGUCGAGGGGCAGCAUGAUUGAAGCUUGCUUCAAUUGAUGGCGACCGGCGCACGGGUGAGUAACACGUAUCCAACCUUCCGUACACUCAGGGAUAGCCUUUCGAAAGAAAGAUUAAUACCUGAUGGUAUCUUAAGCACACAUGUAAUUAAGAUUAAAGAUUUAUCGGUGUACGAUGGGGAUGCGUUCCAUUAGGUAGUAGGCGGGGUAACGGCCCACCGUGGCGACGAUGUCUAGGGGUUCUGAGAGGAAGGCCCCCCACACUGGGACUGAGACACGGCCCAGACUCCUACGGGAGGCAGCAGUGAGGAAUAUUGGUCAAUGGGCGGAAGCCUGAACCAGCCAUGCCGCGUGAAGGACUAAGGCCCUACGGGUCGUAAACUUCUUUAGAUGCAGAGCAAUAAGGUCCACGUGUGGACCGAUGAGAGUAUGCGUAGAAUAAGCAUCGGCUAACUCCGUGCCA